CCGGACUGAAAGACUCCCACUGCCUCUCCCUCCCCCCACGCCCUGCCCCAUCACUCCAAGAUCCCCCAUUCGGCCCUAAACUCCUCCCGGGCCUCCAAACCCCACCCCGGGCUCACACCCCACUUGGCCGUCCUCCCCCGUCCCACGCCCUCCUCCCCCCAGCACCUCCUCCCUCCUCCUGAGCAGAAACGCGGGAGCUGCAGGACCAGGUAAGGGUGGUUCUGGGAGCCUCUGGCAGCGAAUGGCUUUUGGGAAAAGUGGGCAGCUCUCCACCCUCUGAAAUCGUAAGUCUGUAUUGGAUCGGACCGAUGUCAAAGAUGGGACCUUUGGCGACUUGUAAGGAGACCUGGCCUUAAGGCGUUAAAGCGGUCCUAUGAGGAACUGCAAGAACUAGCAUGAAAAGGAGUUCCGUCAGGAUUGUCCUCUCCCCUGAGCAAUCGGGCUAGACUCUCCGACCGAGAGCAGGACCGGAUUUUUCCUUGUAAGACACGUCAGAAAUGCCGGGGAGCGCGCUUUCCCCUUUGCAGCGCUUGGGGGACGCUGUGCGAGAAAUGUUCUAAUUCAGAAAGCGGAGUUCGAGAUGGUGACGUGAUUGUCUGUGUGAACAGUCCGAUCCAACGUGCGCAGGUUGGAGGGGACCGUGGGGAGAAGGGAAAGCCCGGUUUGGCUGCAGCCUAGACUGUGGGAAGGGGAGGAAAGCAGAGUGCUGCUGGGAAGAGGGAGGCUUUGCAGACCCAACAGAGGACGUCAUCGCUGAUCCUGGAGGUGAUGGUUAUUGCAGUAACGGAGUAGGGGGAUGCCCUUGGGUCCUAUGUUGUAGGAGCGUCCCUGAGGCCGCUCAUUGGAGGAGCUGCAGUGGAGAGCUCUGUUCCAGGAGUCCUGCUCUAUCCCAAGUGAAAUGUGAUAAGAACCUGAAUGAGAGCGGCUGCUGUGGAUCUAGGAGCCUGAGGGAAUGGGCCCUGGGAGCCUUGG
RNAcentral lists this long non-coding RNA (972 nucleotides) under Sarcophilus harrisii (Tasmanian devil). RNAcentral's name for it is "lncRNA (ENSSHAG00000023412.1)". Lineage: Eukaryota; Metazoa; Chordata; Mammalia; Dasyuromorphia; Dasyuridae. The record is from RNAcentral.